UGACCUAUUCAACUCUUCACUAGUCAGCUGCUGUGGCCUCUCUGUUUCCCUCCCUAGGACUCUCAGGAUUCCUUCCAAAGAAAGGGAAUGGACUCCAAUCCUGGGCUGGGUCUGCUUCUGGGGACACUCUGUAGCAAGAUCUGCAUGGCAUUUUGAUAAAGCCUGAAUUAACCUGGAAGCAGAUUCCUCCCUGUCACAGUUCUGCCAAGAUCACAGUCCCACAAUGCUUUGCACAGCCAGAAGACCCAAGCCCAGUUGGCCUCACAGAAAUGGUGACACAGGGCUUUGGACUUCUGUCAGUUCUCCUGCAGGAAGCCCAGACUACCAUGCUUACACCAUCCUGCAGAGAGCCACACUGUGGGAAGCAGAGACACACCAUUUCUCACAAGUGAUCCCAGACCAGCUAAUCCACAAGAGCCCAGUAACAGGCCAAAGAUACCCAAGUGAGUCAGCUGGGAGCAAAGGAGUCACCCAGCCAAGCCCGACCUGCAUGGCUGAUUGUCUCUGUACGUGGUCCUGGCUCUCCUGGCUCCCGAGAUACAUAUUAACUGGCCUCGAACUCACAGAGAUCCUACUGCCUCUGCCUUCUAGUGUUGCGAUUAGAGGUGUGUGUCACCAUGCCUAGCCCAUCCUUGUACCUAUUAGGAGUUUAGCUUCUGGCUGGAUUACCCAUCUCAGAGUGAAGUAAAGAUGGCAGCUUGUUCUCUACUGUCAGACAAGGACUUUAGCUGUUAGCAAAAUCGGCCCCACUAGCUCCAGUCUUCUGGAAGAUUCUUACCACACCCUAAAGAGCCCACAGGAACCUGACAUGUUUAAAUUGCUGACAAGGUGGGUGUGGAGGAAGCAGCUAUAAUGAAGAAGAAACCUUUCUUCUAUAAGAUAGAGAAACGUUAGGUUCUUGCUGAGACAAUAGGGAAGAAGCCCAGAGAGCAGGAUCCCACGGAAGAGUCACACAGCAUGUGGACACUGAUCAGACCUGACCUGGCCUGGUCUUUGACUUUGCCUGUGUCAUCACGCCUGGGGUUGGAACUACCCCACCCCCAUCCAUGAAGACUCCUGCGCCCUUUCCAGGAAAUGUACAGACAAGAGCAGGAAACUGUUGAGUUGCCUAUUUUUCUUUCCCUGCAAAAUGGUUUUAUUAUUUUCGUUGAACAAAAACAUCCUAAUGUAUUGAGGAUGGGGAAGAGAAAGACACCCAGACCUUAAAAUAGACUUGAUAUGCCUGUACUUUUGGCUGGAGCAUCCUUGCCGGUAUCCUGGGAAAGGAUAUCUGAAAAACCGGAACUCCACCCACUCUGCCCUCUAGGUUUGAGCUGUCGAAACUCCCUGGUGGCAAAAGGGUACUCUAGAUCAGGGGAAGCAGCCUUCGAAACAGCCUUGUGGCUGCUCUGGGGGGCCCUGUGGUUUCUCUUUAGCCAGCUGGGGGACCUUGAGUAAAUGACCCAACCCCUCUGAUACUCGUGUAACGUGGGGAAGACAAGAGAGUUCUAUCUCCCUUUACUCUCUCGCUUACCACAGGCUGUUUCCCACAAGUCUGAAGGCACCAGUGCUACAGAUGGAGGUAUGUGUAAAUUUGGUUCCAUCGCUGCGUACCCACUGUGAUAACAUGGAUGUAGUGAUGGUACCACACUCGGAUGGCGCCACAGUUUAUAUAUGUGUCUGUAUGUAUAAUAUAAUGUGUGCGCGUAUAAUAUAUGUAUGCAUAUACACACAUCUACUAUCUAUCUAUCUAUCUAUCUAUCUAUCUAUAGAUAGAUAAUAUGCAUGUGCUC
RNAcentral lists this long non-coding RNA (1772 nucleotides) under Mus caroli (Ryukyu mouse). RNAcentral describes it as "lncRNA (MGP_CAROLIEiJ_G0005490.1)". Lineage: Eukaryota; Metazoa; Chordata; Mammalia; Rodentia; Muridae. The record is from RNAcentral.